Molecule: ribosomal RNA, 445 nt
Filed under: uncultured bacterium
Lineage: Bacteria
Description: bacterial SSU rRNA
Rfam family: Bacterial small subunit ribosomal RNA
Source: RNAcentral
GUGAGGAAUAUUGGUCAAUGGGCGCAAGCCUGAACCAGCCAUGCCGCGUGCAGGAUGACGGUCCUAUGGAUUGUAAACUGCUUUUGUACGAGAAGAAACACUGAUUCGUGAAUCAGCUUGACGGUAUCGUAAGAAUAAGGAUCGGCUAACUCCGUGCCAGCAGCCGCGGUAAUACGGAGGAUCCAAGCGUUAUCCGGAAUCAUUGGGUUUAAAGGGUCCGUAGGCGGUCUUGUAAGUCAGUGGUGAAAGCCCAUCGCUCAACGGUGGAACGGCCAUUGAUACUGCUGGACUUGAAUUAUUAGGAAGUAACUAGAAUAUGUAGUGUAGCGGUGAAAUGCUUAGAGAUUACAUGGAAUACCAAUUGCGAAGGCAGGUUACUACUAAUUGAUUGACGCUGAUGGACGAAAGCGUGGGUAGCGAACAGGAUUAGAAACCCUUGUAGUCC